Molecule: ribosomal RNA, 501 nt
Filed under: uncultured bacterium
Lineage: Bacteria
Description: bacterial SSU rRNA
Rfam family: Bacterial small subunit ribosomal RNA
Source: RNAcentral
GAUGAACGCUAGCUACAGGCUUAACACAUGCAAGUCGAGGGGCAGCAUUUUAGUUUGCUUGCAAACUAAAGAUGGCGACCGGCGCACGGGUGAGUAACACGUAUCCAACCUGCCGAUAACUCGGGGAUAGCCUUUCGAAAGAAAGAUUAAUAUCCGAUGGUAUAUUAAAACCGCAUGGUUUUUACUAUUAAAGAAUUUCGGUCAUCGAUGGGGAUGCGUUCCAUUAGGUUGUUGGCGGGUAACGGCCCACCAAGCCUUCGAUGGAUAGGGGUUCUGAGAGGAAGGUCCCCCACAUUGGAACUGAGACACGGUCCAAACUCCUACGGGAGGCAGCAGUGAGGAAUAUUGGUCAAUGGACGAGAGUCUGAACCAGCCAAAGUAGCGUGAAAGGAUGACUGCCCUAUGGGUUGUAAACUUCUUUUUAUACGGGAAUAAAGUGAGGCACGUGUGCCUUUUUGUAUGUACCGUAUGAAUAAGGAUCGGCUAACUCCGUGCCAGCCG